Astyanax mexicanus (Mexican tetra) is the source of this 431-nucleotide long non-coding RNA. RefSeq lists it as uncharacterized. Lineage: Eukaryota; Metazoa; Chordata; Actinopteri; Characiformes; Acestrorhamphidae. The transcript has 3 exons. The record is from RefSeq and is a predicted model, not a curated record.
CUGCAGAGCCCACUGUGAUCAUUCUGGGAGCUGCUGUGGGAGUGUGUGUGGUUGUGAUUAUCGCUCAGUCCAUUGUGUUUUAUAAAAGAAGAAACAGCGAACAAAGCAGUGGAAGAUCUACCAACAGUGAGCAGCCGUGGUCUGCAGUACAGAACUCAGCCAAUCAGGACGGUGAAUCUGCUGGAGUGAAUUACGCUUCUGUUCAGUUUAAAGAUCGUAAAGCUAAAGCGGGCAGAGUGAAGAGGGAACAGUCUGAGGACGUGGUUUACUCUGAUGUGAGGAGACACGCUGCUGCUAAUAAUCGAUCACAUCGCUAAAUAAUAAUAUUACACUCUUUAUACAUAAUCCCAGCUGAUGAGUGUAAUGUAAUACAUGUUAUUAAAUUCAGUAACACUUUACAAUAUGGGUACAUUCAUUAACAGUACUUACAA